CGGGCGCACGCAGCGCAGGAGCACGCACAGCAGCGGCGGCGGCACAGACGGGCCCGGGCUGCGGCAGCCAGAUGUUUCCUUCGCUCCCCUCCCUCCUUCCUCCCUCCCUCCGCUCCUCGACCAGUUUCCCUGACUGACAGCACGGCCAACCCAUCGCACGGCCUUCUCCAAUCAGAGGGGAAGAGGGGAGCUGACAGACCCGCAGGGCCCGCCCAAUGACAAGGAGAGGAAGCGAAGAAUACUCCGGGCUCUGGCUAAUCAUGGAUGGGGGGGUGGGGUUAGCGCUCCUCGGGCCAGGCACUAAGCGAGUUGUUGGGUUCCGAGAAGGGCGGGGCUUUGUGGUCCCGGGUCAGUCCUCUUCUUGCUGCAGUCUCCUCGACCUCCGGAGGAGAAAUGGGGCGAGCGGAGCGGCUGCCGGCGCCGCUUCUCCCUGGGCGCAGUGCAUGGCUAUUGUAAAUGCCUUCCUGAAAGUCUUUAAACCAAAAUAUGUGAAGAUGGCAGUAUCUCCCCAUCCCUGCUUUUACCAGAACAGUUCAUGCUCAUCCAGAGGAUAAUAUUAUAAAACAGCUGAUUACAGAUACAGAAGAUAAUACACAAUCUUCUUCCAAUCUGUCUGUCUGUGCUGCUCAGUUCAUUCACUGAAUCAUAUAAUUGCAAGAUGCCAUAUGUUAUUAUCUUGUGUAAAAGUUAUAAAGAAAGAGAGGACGUGCAGAGAUGUAUACAAAAAUGUCAUCACUCAACAAUACCAUCCCAGGAAGAAAAAAAAUGGAUAUGAUGGACUCUACACACUUUGAGGGCAAGUGGAACUAUUUAUAACUGGAGAGCAAUAGCACCUUAAAUGCCAACAAAACCCCCAAGUUAAAAGCUUUUGUGAAUCAAAGUUCACGCAUGAACUUUUACCCUGGAAAUUUGUGUUGGUCUAUAAGGUGCUGAUAUUGUUUGUUGUUUGUUAUUAGUUAUUUAAAACAUUUCUAUGCCACUUUCCCAUCCAAAUAUGGUUUCCAAGGCAACAUCCAACAAAAGAUUAAACAUUUCAACACCUUUUUUUAAAAAAAGUUCAUAUGCAAAUAUUCAAUAAAAAUGCAUAAACACAUACAACACCAAAA
Molecule: long non-coding RNA, 1106 nt
Organism: Heteronotia binoei (common prickly gecko)
Lineage: Eukaryota; Metazoa; Chordata; Lepidosauria; Squamata; Gekkonidae
Exons: 4
Source: RefSeq, a predicted model, not a curated record